RNAcentral lists this ribosomal RNA (762 nucleotides) under Telema cucurbitina complex sp. Cave_num4. RNAcentral's name for it is "SSU rRNA". It matches the Rfam family "Eukaryotic small subunit ribosomal RNA", at positions 53 to 814 of the family's 1831-position model. The record is from RNAcentral. RNAcentral also lists the same sequence under 1 other name. Lineage: Eukaryota; Metazoa; Arthropoda; Arachnida; Araneae; Telemidae.
GCAUGUCUAAGUACAUGCCGAUCCAAGGCGAAACCGCGAAUGGCUCAUUAAAUCAGUUAUGGUUUCUUAGAUCGUACCUUACUACUUGGAUAACUGUGGUAAUUCUAGAGCUAAUACAUGCAGCAGAGCUCCGACCCGCACGGGGACGAGCGCUUUUAUUAGACCAAGACCAACGGCGCCUCGGCGUCAGUCUUGUGGUGACUCUGUAUAACUUUGGGCUGAUCGCACGGGCUAGUCUCGGCGACGCAUCUUUCAAGUGUCUGACUUAUCAACUGUCGAUGGUAGGUUACGCGCCUACCAUGGUCGUAACGGGUAACGGGGAAUCAGGGUUCGAUUCCGGAGAGGGAGCCUGAGAAACGGCUACCACAUCCAAGGAAGGCAGCAGGCGCGCAAAUUACCCACUCCCGGCACGGGGAGGUAGUGACGAAAAAUAACAAUACGAGACUCUUUCGAGACCUCGUAAUUGGAAUGAGUACACUCUAAAUCCUUUAACGAGGAUCCAUUGGAGGGCAAGUCUGGUGCCAGCAGCUGCGGUAAUUCCAGCUCCAAUAGCGUAUAUUAAAGUUGUUGCGGUUAAAAAGCUCGUAGUUGGAUCUCAGUUCCAGACGUGCGGUCCGCCUACCGGUGGUCCCCGCACGGCCUGAACAACCAGCCGGUUUCCCUGGAUGAUCUUCACCGGUUGUCCUGGGUGACCGGCACGUUUACUUUGAAAAAAUUAGAGUGCUCAGAGCAGGCGAGACGCCUGAAUAAUGGUGCAUGGAA